RNAcentral lists this ribosomal RNA (830 nucleotides) under Cryptotympana atrata. RNAcentral's name for it is "SSU rRNA". It matches the Rfam family "Eukaryotic small subunit ribosomal RNA", at positions 952 to 1784 of the family's 1831-position model. Lineage: Eukaryota; Metazoa; Arthropoda; Insecta; Hemiptera; Cicadidae. The record is from RNAcentral.
CAUUUGCCAAGUAUGUUUCCGUUAAUCAAGAACGAAAGUUAGAGGUUCGAAGGCGAUCAGAUACCGCCCUAGUUCUAACCAUAAACGAUGCCAGCCAGCGAUCCGCCGAAGUUCCUCCGAUGACUCGGCGGGCAGCUUCCGGGAAACCAAAGCUUUUGGGUUCCGGGGGAAGUAUGGUUGCAAAGCUGAAACUUAAAGGAAUUGACGGAAGGGCACCACCAGGAGUGGAGCCUGCGGCUUAAUUUGACUCAACACGGGAAACCUCACCAGGCCCGGACACCGGAAGGAUUGACAGAUUGAGAGCUCUUUCUUGAUUCGGUGGGUGGUGGUGCAUGGCCGUUCUUAGUUGGUGGAGCGAUUUGUCUGGUUAAUUCCGGUAACGAACGAGACUCUAGCCUGCUAAAUAGACGAUUUCCGGUAUCCACAAUAGUGCUACCGGCGAAAUCAAUAUCUUCUUAGAGGGACAGGCGGCUUUCAGCCGCACGAAACUGAGCAAUAACAGGUCUGUGAUGCCCUUAGAUGUCCUGGGCCGCACGCGCGCUACACUGAAGGAAUCAGCGUGUACACCCUGGCCGAAAGGCUCGGGCAACCCGUUGAACCUCCUUCGUGCUAGGGAUUGGGGCUUGCAAUUGUUCCCCAUGAACGAGGAAUUCCCAGUAAGCGCGAGUCAUAAGCUCGCGUUGAUUACGUCCCUGCCCUUUGUACACACCGCCCGUCGCUACUACCGAUUGAAUGAUUUAGUGAGGUCUUCGGACUGGUGCGCGGCGACCGCAUGCGCGGCCGCCGAUGCCACCGGGAAGAUGACCGAACUUGAUCAUUUAGAGGAAGUA